Molecule: ribosomal RNA, 1009 nt
Filed under: Atrocalyx bambusae
Lineage: Eukaryota; Fungi; Ascomycota; Dothideomycetes; Pleosporales; Lophiotremataceae
Description: SSU rRNA
Rfam family: Eukaryotic small subunit ribosomal RNA
Source: RNAcentral
CUGCGAAUGGCUCAUUAAAUCAGUUAUCGUUUAUUUGAUAGUACCUUACUACUUGGAUAACCGUGGUAAUUCUAGAGCUAAUACAUGCUAAAAACCCCGACUUCGGGAGGGGUGUAUUUAUUAGAUAAAAAACCAAUGCCCUUCGGGGCUCUUUGGUGAUUCAUGAUAACUUAACGGAUCGCAUGGCCUUGCGCCGGCGACGGUUCAUUCAAAUUUCUGCCCUAUCAACUUUCGAUGGUAAGGUAUUGGCUUACCAUGGUUUCAACGGGUAACGGGGAAUUAGGGUUCGAUUCCGGAGAGGGAGCCUGAGAAACGGCUACCACAUCCAAGGAAGGCAGCAGGCGCGCAAAUUACCCAAUCCCGACUCGGGGAGGUAGUGACAAUAAAUACUGAUACAGGGCUCUUUUGGGUCUUGUAAUCGGAAUGAGUACAAUUUAAACCCCUUAACGAGGAACAAUUGGAGGGCAAGUCUGGUGCCAGCAGCCGCGGUAAUUCCAGCUCCAAUAGCGUAUAUUAAAGUUGUUGCAGUUAAAAAGCUCGUAGUUGAACCUUGGGCCUGGCUGGCCGGUCCGCCUCACCGCGUGUACUGGUCCGGCCGGGCCUUUCCUUCUGGAGAGCCGCAUGCCCUUCACUGGGUGUGUCGGGGAACCAGGACUUUUACUUUGAAAAAAUUAGAGUGUUCAAAGCAGGCCUUUGCUCGAAUACGUUAGCAUGGAAUAAUAGAAUAGGACGUGCGGUCCUAUUUUGUUGGUUUCUAGGACCGCCGUAAUGAUUAAUAGGGAUAGUCGGGGGCAUCAGUAUUCAAUUGUCAGAGGUGAAAUUCUUGGAUUUAUUGAAGACUAACUACUGCGAAAGCAUUUGCCAAGGAUGUUUUCAUUAAUCAGUGAACGAAAGUUAGGGGAUCGAAGACGAUCAGAUACCGUCGUAGUCUUAACCGUAAACUAUGCCGACUAGGGAUCGGGCGAUGUUUCUAUCUUGACUCGCUCGGCACCUUACGAGAAAUCAUAAG